AGCAGCCGCGGUAAUUCCAGCUCCAAUAGCGUAUAUUAAAGUUGUUGCAGUUAAAAAGCUCGUAGUUGAAUUUCGGGGUUAGCAGGUCGGUCGUGCCAUCGGUAUGAACUGGUCUCGCUGAUCCCUCCCUCUUGACGAACUGUGAUGCCAUUAAUUUGGUGUCGCAGGGAAUCAGGACUGUUACUUUGAAAAAUUAGAGUGUUUAAAGCAGGCUCACGCUUGAAUACAUUAGCAUGGAAUAAUGAAAUAGGACGUUUGAUCCUAUUUUGUUGGUUUCUAGGAUUGACGUAAUGAUUAAUAGGGAUAGUUGGGGGCAUUAGUAUUCAAUUGUCAGAGGUGAAAUUCUUGGAUUUAUUGAAGACUAACUACUGCGAAAGCAUUUGCCAAGGAUGUUUUCAUUAAUCAAGAACGAAAGUUAGGGGAUUCGAAGACGAUCAGAUACCGUCGUAGUCUUAACCAUAAACUAUGCCGACUAGGGAUCGGAUGAUGUUAAUUUUUUAAUGUACUUCA
This 510-nucleotide ribosomal RNA is filed under the name uncultured Glomeraceae. RNAcentral describes it as "SSU rRNA". It matches the Rfam family "Eukaryotic small subunit ribosomal RNA", at positions 569 to 1083 of the family's 1831-position model. The record is from RNAcentral. Lineage: Eukaryota; Fungi; Glomeromycota; Glomeromycetes; Glomerales; Glomeraceae.